AUCGCUUCUUGGCCUCUUGGCUAAGAUCAAGUGUAGUAUCUGUUCUUAUCAGUUUAAUAUCUGAUACAUCCCCCACCUAGGGACCGUAUAUUAAAUUGAUUUUUGGAGCAGGGAGAUGGAAUAGGGACUUGCUCCGUCCACUCCACGGUUCAGCCCCUCUGAAUGUUGAAUAUUAAAUAUGGAUCAAGAGCA
Small nuclear RNA from Scophthalmus maximus (turbot), 192 nucleotides. Its record names the gene U2. It matches the Rfam family "U2 spliceosomal RNA". Rfam says of the family: U2 is a small nuclear RNA (snRNA) component of the spliceosome (involved in pre-mRNA splicing). Lineage: Eukaryota; Metazoa; Chordata; Actinopteri; Pleuronectiformes; Scophthalmidae. The record is from Ensembl.